GAUGAACGCUGGCGGCGUGCCUAAUACAUGCAAGUCGAGCGAACGGAUGAGAAGCUUGCUUCUCUGAUGUUAGCGGCGGACGGGUGAGUAACACGUGGAUAACCUACCUAUAAGACUGGGAUAACUUCGGGAAACCGGAGCUAAUACCGGAUAAUAUUUUGAACCGCAUGGUUCAAAAGUGAAAGGCGGUCUUGCUGUCACUUAUAGAUGGAUCCGCGCUGCAUUAGCUAGUUGGUAAGGUAACGGCUUACCAAGGCAACGAUGCAUAGCCGACCUGAGAGGGUGAUCGGCCACACUGGAACUGAGACACGGUCCAGACUCCUACGGGAGGCAGCAGUAGGGAAUCUUCCGCAAUGGGCGAAAGCCUGACGGAGCAACGCCGCGUGAGUGAUGAAGGUCUUCGGAUCGUAAAACUCUGUUAUUAGGGAAGAACAUAUGUGUAAGUAACUGUGCACAUCUUGACGGUACCUAAUCAGAAAGCCACGGCUAACUACGUG
This 497-nucleotide ribosomal RNA is filed under the name uncultured bacterium. Its description in RNAcentral is "partial 16S ribosomal RNA". It matches the Rfam family "Bacterial small subunit ribosomal RNA", at positions 28 to 507 of the family's 1533-position model. The record is from RNAcentral.